RNAcentral lists this long non-coding RNA (1611 nucleotides) under Homo sapiens (human). Its description in RNAcentral is "HSALNT0390883". Lineage: Eukaryota; Metazoa; Chordata; Mammalia; Primates; Hominidae. The record is from RNAcentral.
GUCUGGGCGGUGACGUUUGGUCUGAGCUGACCUUUCCUCACAAUCGUGAAUUUGGGCUGUGAGGAUCAGGCCUUGUCAGAACCCGAGAUGAGAGGAGAGAGAUUUCUGGUUCAGUAAGGGUGAGAGCCAGGCUCCAGACUAUAGUGAAUUUUCCGAGGAGAUAUGUAUGACCUACAGUGACUCUGACGCUAAAUCUGCAAGUUCUUUUAACACCACGGAAAUAAUGUCUAAAUGCUCAAGACAAAAUCACUUAUGGUGUUGUCUACAUACCUUAUGACAUCGUGUAUGGCAAGGCACUUUAAGGUCAGAACUACAGAUGUCAAACUAGUUCUCUUAAUUUCAGGGAUCACAUGGUCAGGCAUACACUGGUUCCAAAAAUCUUUACUAUAGAUCCGAAAGCAUUUUCCUGAAGAAGUCCUGCCAGCUCGGCCACUUCGCUGUAAUGCCUCGCUCCUACAAAAGGAAAAAAACCCAAAAAUUCCCCAAAAUGUUCUGUGGGUUUCUCAGGUAAUUUACUUUGUCUCCCCAAAACAGCUAGAAAUUACCUAAUCAGUUGUUCUUUGAAUAAAAAGAUUUGACAUAGAGACUUACUUUGAAAUUGGAACCACCUCCAGGAUGUCCAACCCUAAUCUGGGGUUGUGAUUUAACUGCUUCACAAAGCCACCAUCUACCACAUAUCUAAGAAGAAUCAAAGCAAGUUAAGUUUCUGGAAAAUAAAAGAAGACUUGUUAAUUGUUAACCACUUUGGUUUCUCCUUUUCUAGCAAACUAGCAGGUACACAAUGCCUUUUAUGUUAAGUGUAAAACUUGAAAGUCAAGAAAUUGGAACCCUCGUAUGUUGUUGGUGGGAAUGUAAAAUGGUUCAGCCGAGGUGGAAAAUUGUUCGGAGGUCCUCAAGAAGUUAAACACAAAAUUACCAUAUGAUCCAGCAAUUCCAUUUCUAAGUGUACACCAAAAAGAACUGAGAACAAGUACUCAAACAAAUACUUAUAGACCAAUGUUCAUAUCAGCACUAUGAAUCACAGCCAUAAGGUAAAAACAACCUAAAUGUCCAUUAACCAUUAAUGGAAGAAGGGAUGAACAAAUUGCUUUGCAUAUAUGUAUGUAGUAUAUAUACACACGCAUAUAUACACACACAAUGGAAUAUAUAUAUAUAUACACACACACACUAUGCAAUAUUAUUCAGCCACAAAAAAGAAUGAAGUACUGAUACAUGCUACAAUGUGGACGAACCUCAAAAAUAUUAUGCUAAGUGAAAGAAAGCAAACACAGAAGGCCACAUAUUAUAUGAUUCUAUUUGUAUGAAAUAUCCAGAAUAGAAAAUACCUACUGCUUCCUGCUGACACAUCUAAAGAAUUUUUUAAAAAAGAAAAUACGUACAAACAAAAAGUAAGACUGGUAGUUGCCAAGGGCUGGGGUCGAGAGGGGAAUGUGGAGUACCUGCUUAAUGGGUAUGGGGUUUUAUUUUGAGGUGUUGAAAUAUUUUAGAACUAAGCAGAAGCAGUGGUUGCGCAAUACUGUAAAUGUACUAAGUACUACUUAAUUUUUCAUUUUAAAUGAUUAAUUUUAUGUGAAUUUUGCCUCAAUACAAAAAUACACAAACUUGAAAGUC